This 1324-nucleotide ribosomal RNA is filed under the name uncultured organism. RNAcentral describes it as "bacterial SSU rRNA". It matches the Rfam family "Bacterial small subunit ribosomal RNA", at positions 91 to 1410 of the family's 1533-position model. The record is from RNAcentral.
GUUAGUGGCGAAAGGGUGAGGAAUAGAUAGGAACGUACCCUGUGCUCUGGGAGGGCGUCUGAAGCUUCGGCUUCUUCCGAAAGGGGCGGUAAUACCAGAUAAUGUCCUUCGGGACCAAAGAUUUAUCGGCAUUGGAGCGGCCUAUCUCCUAUCAGCUUGUUGGUGAGGUAACGGCUCACCAAGGCAACGACGGGUAGCGGGACUGAGAGGUUGGCCCGCCACAUCGGGACUGAGACACUGCCCGGACCUCCACGGAGGGCUGCAGUAACGGAUAUUGGGCAAUGGGCGAAAGCCUGACCCAGCAAUGCCGCGUGCAGGAUGAAGCCCCUAGGGGUGUAAACUGCUGUCAGGGGUCAGAAAGCUGGUUUCGGCCAGUUGAUCAACCCCAGAGGAAGUCACGGCUAACUUCGUGCCAGCAGCCGCGGUAAUACGAAGGUGGCAAGCGUUAUUCGGAAUCAUUGGGCUUAAAGGGCACGCAGGCGGAACAGUGUGUGUUGUGUGAAAUCCCCCGGGCUUAACCGGGGAAUUGCACAGCAAACUGCUGUUCUUGAGGCAGGUAGGGGUGCAUGGAACUCUUGGUGGAGCGGUGGAAUGCGUAGAUAUCAAGAGGAACGCCAGAGGUGAAGACGGUGCACUGGGCCUGUCCUGACGCUGAGGUGCGAAAGCGUGGGGAGCGAACGGGAUUAGAUACCUCGGUAGUCCACGCCGUAAACGAUGUCUACUAGGUCGUGGGUGUUCUGACACAUUCACGGCCGGAGCAAAAGUGUUUAGUAGACCGCCUGGGGAGUACGGCCGCAAGGUUAAAACUCAAAUGAAUUGACGGGGGCUCACACAAGCGGUGGAGCAUGUGGAUUAAUUCGAAGCAACGCGCAGAACCUUACCUGGGUUUGACAUGCUUGUAUGCCUUCUCUGAAAGGAGUUAGGCUGCCUUCGGGUGAAACUUGCACAGGUGCUGCAUGGCUGUCGUCAGCUCGUGUCGUGAGAUGUCGGGUUAAGUCCUUUAACGAGCGAAACCCUUGCCGUUAGUUGCCAGCGAGUGAUGUCGGGGACUCUAACGGGACUGCCGGUGUUAAACCGGAGGAAGGUGGGGAUGACGUCAAGUCCUCAUGGCCUUUAUGCCCAGGGCUUCACACGUGCUACAAUGGCAAUUACAGAGCGACGCGAUACCGCGAGGUGGAGCAAAUCGCAAAAAAAUUGCCUCAGUUCGGAUUGCAGGCUGGCAAUUCGCCUGCAUGAAGUCGGAAUCGCUAGUAAUCGCGUAUCAGCAAUGACGCGGUGAAUGUGUUCCUGAGCCUUGUACACACCGCCCGUCAAGUGAUGGAAG